This 462-nucleotide ribosomal RNA is filed under the name uncultured bacterium. Its description in RNAcentral is "partial 16S ribosomal RNA". It matches the Rfam family "Bacterial small subunit ribosomal RNA", at positions 28 to 507 of the family's 1533-position model. The record is from RNAcentral.
GACGAACGCUGGCGGCGUGCUUAACACAUGCAAGUCGAACGGUAAGGCCCUUCGGGGUACCCGAGUGGCGAACGGGUGAGUAACACGUGGGUAAUCUGCCCUGCACUUCGGGAUAAGCCUGGGAAACUGGGUCUAAUACCUGAUAUUCAGUUCCUGCCGCAUGGUGGGGGUUGGGAAGUUUUUCGGUGCAGGAUGAGCCCGCGGCCUAUCAGCUUGUUGGUGGGGUAAUGGCCUACCAAGGCGACGACGGGUAGCCGGCCUGAGAGGGUGAUCGGCCACACUGGGACUGAGACACGGCCCAGACUCCUACGGGAGGCAGCAGUGGGGAAUAUUGCACAAUGGGCGAAAGCCUGAUGCAGCGACGCCGCGUGGGGGAUGACGGUCUUCGGAUUGUAAACCCCUUUCAGUAGGGACGAAGCGAAAGUGACGGUACCUGCAGAAGAAGCACCGGCCAACUACGUG